AAGCAUCGGNUAANUCCGUGCCAGCACCCCGGUAAUACGGAGAAUGCAAGCGUUAUCCGGAUUCCAUUGGGUUUAANAGGGUGCGCAGNCGGAAUGAUAANUCANUGNUGAAAUCNUNCAGNUCAACUGUAGAACUGCCAUUGAUACUGUCGUUCUUGAGUACACUUGGAGUGGNCGGAAUGUGUCAUGUANCGNUGAAAUGCUUAGAUAUGACACAGAACACCGAUCGCGAAGGCAGCUCACUAAAUUGUAACUGACGCUCAGGCACGAAAGCGUGGGGAUCAAACAGGAUUAGAUACCCUGGUAGUCCACGCUGUAAACGAUGAUCACUCGAUGUUGGCGAUAUACUGUCAGCGUCUAAGCGAAAGCAUUAAGUGAUCCACCUGGGGAGUACGAUCGCAAGAUUGAAACUCAAAGGAAUUGACGGG
This 428-nucleotide ribosomal RNA is filed under the name uncultured Bacteroidota bacterium. RNAcentral describes it as "uncultured Bacteroidetes bacterium partial 16S ribosomal RNA". It matches the Rfam family "Bacterial small subunit ribosomal RNA", at positions 488 to 917 of the family's 1533-position model. The record is from RNAcentral. Lineage: Bacteria; Pseudomonadati; Bacteroidota.